Molecule: long non-coding RNA, 1470 nt
Organism: Xiphophorus couchianus (Monterrey platyfish)
Lineage: Eukaryota; Metazoa; Chordata; Actinopteri; Cyprinodontiformes; Poeciliidae
Exons: 3
Source: RefSeq, a predicted model, not a curated record
GGAGGACCCGGGAUCCCAUCAACCCCAGCAAGACCAGGGCGUCCCUGGGGACCCUAAAACAAGAGGACGGGAAAAGCAUCAGUGAUAGUGCCUCCUGUUAUGGGGAGCCAACUAUCUUCUGAAAACAGAAUACCUGAGCUGAAACGGAGAUUCUGGAUGCAGCUGCUUUCACCACCAGCUUCUGAGAGGAAACAAAACCCUAACCAAGCUCUACAGCCCAUUCGAACCAUAGCGGAGCCCGCCAUGUUAACUGUAAGCCACACUCACCAGAUCACCUGGAUCUCCCCUGGGUCCUGGAGGGCCUGUUGGUCCAGCUGGCCCAGGAAGUCCCUGUAAACAGACCAGUACUUUGCCAAGAACUAACAAACAUGGCUAUGUUGCAAUAUAAACUUUACUUGAACAAUAAAUGUUUUUGAUUCUCCAAGUGCUUAAAAAACUUUUGUAAAACUCUCCUGCUCAGCUAGUUUACGAUAGUGCACCGAUUUCCUCAUAAUCUGUGCAAGGGCACCUCAAUGAAUUUAAGUUUAAUGUUUAUGUAUUUCUGGAAUUCAAUUUAAAAAGUGAUGUAUUAUAAAGAUUCAUUACACAAAUAGCUAAACAUUUCAAGCACUUAUAUCUAAUGAUUUUGUCCUUCAACUCACAAAAAAAGCUAUUUCUCAGAGCACUACAGUGUUGCAUAAGACAAAUAAAAUAUAAAGGUCUCACUAAGCCACACCUCAACCACAGACAAUGACAGAAACACCUUAUCUGCGUUUGUUGCUCAGUUGUCGACAAUUCCAGUAAAAUUUUAAGUAAAAUGUUGAAUUUAAUUUGUAAAUGAAAGUCCCAGAGUCUAGAAGAAGAGUGGAGAUACACAAAAUACAAGUGAGUUGAGGUGUUCAGUGUGACAUUUCCACAGUCUGUGAUUAUUUGUGGAGCCAUGCACUCUGCCGGUGUUGGUCCACUACAUUUUAUUAAGCCCAAUGUCAGCACAGAUGUCCAACAGAAAAAUUUAGAGCACUUCAUGCCUCCCUCUAUUGAAAUUGUUUGAAAUAAAUCUCUAUGUGCAAAAAGUAUAUAUAAUAAGUUUAUGUUUUUAUAAAAUAUUUGAACUUUUUAAUUCAACUAAUUAAUUAAAUUCAGGAGCUGAAUUGCUAUUUUUAUAGCAAUAAUUCACAACAAAUUAUUGUCUUGGAGGACAAUAAUUGGGAUAAUUUCAGUUCAAUGUCACAUACAUUCCAAUUGAUCCUACCUAUAAGUUGAUAGGUAGGAUCCAAUCACAGCUGAUUAAAAUCAGCUGUGAUUUUAAUGUAAUUCAUUAUUCAAAUCAGUUUAAAAAGUGUUAAAGAAACUCAACAGACUGCAUCGAUUCAUUGACUUGCUGUAUUCCUUCCUCCUUAAUGAUUAAUUUUUUUAAUGCAUUUUCAUGCAAAACAUUUUUGAUUUGUCAUUAAGUUAUAAUCCUUUUGAUGCAGUUGUUUAAUAUCUGUG